AAUGAAAGGGGUGGGGCUGAUGAAGUGACCAUGACAUUUCAGCCUGUGAGUGGCCCUAGUGUGACUCACAGAAGUGAGUGAGAGCAAGUUUGAGCACACGGUAAACUCGGUGAUGUUUGUGGGUGGGCUGCAAGGCCGAAGCUGAGCUCCCCAGGACGGGGCUGCGGCCUUGAAUAUCACCCUAAAUCACCUGUUUUCUCCUUCUCCGGCUGCUGGCGUUCCUUCCAGGGAGCACACCGCUACCUUUGGCUGCGACCCUUGCCCAUUUCUGGCUGGAGCUGCCCAUCACUGUGCUACGCUAAGCUCAUAACAGGUGCUCAGAAAGUGUUCAGAUGCUGAAUGAAGCCAGGUUGGUCCAGAUGUAAUGGAGCCGUUGAAAAGCUUACUUUAUUGCAAGAAUAUCAUGUGUAACACGUAGAAGCAUACAAAACAAAUGUUAAUCGGCUGUCUAUGUUACAGGAGCCAACAAAGUGAAAAAGAAAUCCCCGAAGAGUGCAAACAAAAAUCUCAAAAGGGCCUAAGAGACUCCAAUCAAACAUAAAAGGUAAACUUGGUGAGUAUAAAUUUCGGGCGAAGAUAUGAUCAGGAAGUUUGCUCAUUGUGCAAGUAAACGUUAGGCAGCUUUAUUUUUUUCCACGCAACUUGGUUUAAGUGAACAGGCUUGAGUCUUCUUGGAACACCGCGAAAGAAGCAGGUUGAAACCCUCUUCCUGCAACAAGGCUUGGUUGCUGGGCUAAUUUGCAAUAAAGAGGAUCAUCCUCUUCAAUGUAAAGGCCAGUGAGUAGGGUGAGAAAAGGUUAGGAAAUCUACCUCAUUCUCCACAGGAGAAACCUGGGUUUACUUCCUGAGGGAACCGGAUGCCUUAAGUCGAUUCGUUUUUUAUCGCCACUGUAACAAAUUACCACCAACGUAGUGCCUGAAAACAACACGAAUUCAUUAUCUCAGUCUCCUUGGGUCAGAAGUCUGGCAGGCUUGACCGGGUCUCCGCUCAGCGUCUCACAAGGCCAAAAUCAAGACGUCAGCCUGUGUUCCUUCUUGGAGGCUCUGGGAGGGGAGUCCAUGUGCCUGCUCAUUUAGACUGUUGUGGAGUUCAGCUUCACACAGUUGUGGGAAUGGCAACCCAGUCUCUUAUUGGCUGUCUGUUGAGGACUAGUCUCAGAUUCUGGAGCCUUCCCCUAGAUCUUGGCUUGUGACUUCUUUCCUCCAUCCUCAAAAUCAGCAUUGGAGGGUCAAGUCUUUCCCACACUUCAAACCUCUCUUCUGCCUCCCCCCUCUGCUACCGAUCUCUAACCACCAACUGUGUUCUUCUACUUUUGUGAGCUCCUGGGAUUACAUUGGACCCCUGCAAACAAUCCAGGAUACCCUCCUUCCUUCAAGGUCAACUGAUCAGCAGUCAGUUUUCAUUCCGUCUGCAAAGUUCUUUUUGUCAAGGAACUUAACAUAGACACAGGAUCCAGGACUUCGGGGGGUUGUUAUUCAGUUUUCACAUCAGGGACAUGACCGAAGGAAGAACCAGAGUUGAAAGAAGAUACCAAGGCAAAUGUCUGGGACCACGAGAAGAGAAAACAAAAUUUUGGUGGUUAAGUGGUCAGCCCGAGGAAAUGGCAGCUAUCUGCCUUGCUGCCCGGGUGUGUGGCAGGGUCUUGUCUUCUCUGUCACCUUUUUUAGCUGAGUUUGCUGGCCCUCGGUAGAAGCCCAGCCCCUGAGAUAGGGAGCAGGGAUGCACCCCCUGAGAGAUCUCAGCGGGAAGGCGAUUAUACUUAUUGGCCACUGUCAGCGGCGGCCACAUCCCGACUGCGAAUAAUGGCUUCUCGUCUGACAUUUCUCAGGGCUCCAGGGUGAGAGGGAGGGUAGCAAGCAACGGUUUUGUACAAGUUUACUUUCUGGGCUUCCAGGAAACAUCACUUCACAACCUGAAUCCCUCCUGCAGGGCACAGGAGUCUGGAGGAGCUGGCAUCUCGUCCCCCCGCCGAAGGCUCCCGCGGGAGAGUGGCUUAAUACCAUUGCCUAGUUUCUUGGGUUUCUUUUUCUCUCUUUUAACUUGUUGAUGUUUUUAUUUAUUUUUUGAGACAGAAAACACGAGCUGGGGAGGGCCAGAGAGAGAGAGAGGGAGCCAGGAACCGAACUGAAGCAGGCUCCUCGCUGACAGCACAGAGCCCGACACAGGGCUUGACCUCACAAGCCGUGAGAUCGUGACCUGAGCCGAAGUCGGAUGCUUAGCUGACUGAGCCACCCAGGCGCCCCUAGUGUCUUGGGUUUCUAUCUCUCGCCCUCAUCAGACCAGAAGAAAAACUGCAAACGUCAGCAUGAGUGAUACCCAUAGACUACAGACCGUCCCCAAGUUGUACCCCGGGCAGCACAGCAUUCCAAUUGUGCCAAAGGGCCCACAGCACUUCAAAGAUCUCUAGAACAUUCUCUCAUUUCACUCUGAGGGUCUUCAGUACAAGGGGAUAUAAGGGACAUACAUCACUGAUGAAAAGUUUGGGAAGGCCCCUCGGGCCUUGGGGACUGAAUGACUCUUACUGAAAGUGGCCCCUCGGUUUCACUGACAUGGCCAGUGGGUCCAAAAUCUUGUUUCCUCCCUGUGGUAAUCUCUUAGGGCCACCGUGACAAAGUGCCAAAAACUGGGUGGCUGAAAGCAGCAGAAAUGAAUUUUCUGACAGAAGUUAGAAGUCUGAAACCGAGGUAUUGUGAGGCCCAUGCCUCCUCGGAACCCAUAAGAAUCCUUCCACGUUCUUUUAGCCUCUGGUGUUUGCCAGAAAUCCUUGUCAUUUCUUGGCUUGUGGACACAUCGCUCCAAACUCUGCUUCUGUCAUCCAAGGUGUUCUCCCUGUGUGUUUUCACAUGGGGUUCUAUUCCCCCCCCCAUCUCCUCUCAUCUUCUUUAGGGACACCACAUUGGCUUAAGGACCCAUCUAACUCCACUAUGACUUCAUGUUAAUUAAUUACAUCUGCCAUGACCUUAUUUCUUUUCUUUUCUUUUCUUUUUUAUUUUAGAGAGAGAGGGAGUGAGAAAGUGAGUGAGAGCGGGGGAGAGGGGCAGAGGGAAUUCCAAGCAGGCUCCACGCUCAGCCCGAUGUGGGGCUUGAUCCCAUGACCCUGGGAUCACGACCUGAGCCGGAAUCAAGAGUCAGAUGCUCAACGGCUCAACCGACAGAGCCGCCCGGGUGCUCCUGCCAUGAACUUAUUUGUAUAUAAGGAAGGCCACACCCUGAGGUUCCAGGCAGGACAUUUUACUCCCCUCCGCCUCUCCUUUCAUCUCCUUCUUCCUCUUCUAAACCACUGGCUGGCUUAAGAAAUGAGUUCCACCUAAAUGCAAACUGCAGAAGUGAACCCCAAGGCCCUCAGAGAAACUCCAGAAAAGACAAGGGAUUCGUCUCAGGGACCAAAACUCACCUAUGGGUGGACCUUGGCUGAUGGUUCAGUAACCUCAAAUGACCUGUUUCUUUUUCCAUUUAGUGUCUCAGGGGCUGGGAUUAGAAGAGUCUCCAGAACGGUCUGGGAUCGUUGCUGUGGUUCUUUUCCCUUCAUUUCUAAGUCGUCUUCCUCUAGGAUGGCCUAGAGAGGCCCCUGUUUGCUCUUUUCAGUUUCUAGACACUAUUGCUUCCAAUAGGAUGGCUAAGAGGGCCUCCAUUUAUACUGGAAUCCAGUGUCUUUGAGAAAAGGGCCCUAUCUUAGAGGGCUCCUUGAAGGGAGGAGAAGAGAUCAUACAUGCAGAUGGAUGCCAGUGGGCCUGGGGGGGUGGUCUGUGUCCCAGGAAGAGCCUGUCUUUACCGACUCUUCAGCCUCUGCAACCUGGACCAGACCUGCACCUGCACAGCCUUGAACCCUACGGGCGAUAUCUCCUGCCAUCCCUGCCCAGCAGCCUCGGGCAGGCGACAGCCCUUCUAGCACCUCCAGGACCCCCGAGAAAUGCUCUGAGAGGUGUGGGGAGAGCUGAGAAAGCGGUACACGCACAUACACAACACAGCACACACAUAUACCCACCAUGCACACACACGUACCCCCACAUACACACAUAGCACACACACCCCACAGGUGCUCCGAUCUCUGCCAGUCUCCUCUUUUCUCAGGUUUCCAGGCAGUUGCAGGUUCUUACCGCCCGAUGAUGUGGAUUCUCCUGGGAAAAGUGUGUUGAUUCCUUGUGAUCCCGGGUACCUAAGGAAUCUGGUGCAUCCAAGUCUGGUACGAAGCGUGCUCACGGACAACUGAGGUUCGGUAAGGCUCACAGAGCAGCAGACGAUUGCUGCUGAAAACCACUACAGUCCUCACAGUUCCCAGGGGAGGGGUCAUGCCCUCCGUGGCAGGCAGAGCAGGGGGAUGCGGGGAAAAUACGGCGCAGGUCGCUGGUGCCGGAGAAAGACGAGGAGCCGCAGGCCAGAGUCUUUAUUGUGGUUUCCCUGGGACGGGAUAGACAAGGAAGGGACAGCGGGUGUAAGAGGGGCUGGUUUGAAUCGUUUCAGCAUCUCCAGGCCAGAGGGGUUUUGCCUGGCUCUCCUCUCUAACACCUGGCUCCGGGGUGAUUAGUGAAAUAAAGGAAGGGAUUAAGGGUACUGGUUCUGGAUUGACCGGUUUGCAUUUGAAAAGAGGGGCGGGCUGUUUACUACCUCUAGCAAUUGGCUAGUCCUGGGAGGGACAGUCCUCCAAGGUCAGCAAGGCCCUCAAUGUCAAAAUUUCAGAAUACAGGGGUGCCCGGGUGGCUCAGUCGGUUGAGCGUCUGACUUCGGCUCAGGUCAUGAUCUCACAGUUCGUGGUUCAAGCCCCGCAUCGGGCUCUGUGCUGACAGCUCAGAGCUUGGAGCCUGCUUCGGAUUCUGUGUCUCCCGUUCUCUCGGCCCCUCUCCCGCUCAUGCUCUGUCUCUCUCUGUCUCUCUCUCAAAAAUAAACAUUAAAAAAAAUUUUUUUUUAAAUAUCAGGGUACAGAAAAUAAAAAGACAUGCUUAAUGCAGCUGUUCAGCAAAUCUGUUUGAUUUACUGGAGACAAUGAGUGGUCAGCAUGGUUACUUCUAAGAGGUUUUCUGCACAGGAGGCCAUUGCCUAAAUUAGUUAAUCUACCCAAAUGCACUACUAUUGAUAGAAAUCUAAGGGGUUUCUCCCAAGUGUAAAAUGUUAUUUUGCUUGGGGACUUCAGGGCCAAUGCAGCUGUCUGAUUGGCUAACAUAGGAGUCACUCCAGUAGCUAACCCAGCUUGCGGUGGACCCCUCCCCAGCACUUGAAAUUUAGGUAGAAUUACCUCAAUUCCCCAAGAUCAUGCCCUGAGGAAAGUUCUGUAAAGUUUCUGUAAAUUCCUAGGGACAUACUUUUUCAUGACCCCCUCUGCCUGCAAGCCCCCAACCACCACCACUGGCCCCCAUCCCACCUGGGGUUCCCAUCCUUCUCUAGCACUGCCCCACGUGACCCCAGAAAGCAACAUUGCAACAGUUUUGCCAAUGCCCUUCCCUGCCCAAAUCAACGCUCACUCAUAAGAAAGCAGCAGUGAACAAAGUCGAAUUUACUGAAGACUUGGCAGAGGAGGUGGAGGAGGAGAGGUCUACAUCGAACACUCCACAGCAAGUAACAGAAAUCCAUUUAAAUGUUCAGAUUCCCCAGAGUGCCUUUUCACCCAACCCAUCCCCCAGGCACUCUCUCAGCCCCCUUCCUUGUACCCAAUGAUAUGCAAAUCAAUCAAUCAAGCAAACAAGCAAACAGAACAGGAGAGAAAGGAGAUAAGAAAACUCCGAAAAGGCUACGUUGUUGAGUUGCAUAUGAAAUGUAGUGAGAUUAUAUUUAAUAAUAUUUUGAAUAGUGGUUUGAGGCCCGUGUUAGGUGUUGAGCUCUGCGCUGGCAUCGCAGAGCCUGUUUGGGAUUCUCUCCCUCUCUCUCGCCCCU
Long non-coding RNA from Panthera uncia (snow leopard), 5866 nucleotides. RefSeq lists it as uncharacterized. Lineage: Eukaryota; Metazoa; Chordata; Mammalia; Carnivora; Felidae. The transcript has 3 exons. The record is from RefSeq and is a predicted model, not a curated record.